UAGAAUGGGGUGUAAUGGGUAGCACGGAGAAUUUUGGAUUCUCAAGUA
RNAcentral lists this transfer RNA (48 nucleotides) under Stenocranius gregalis (narrow-headed vole). RNAcentral's name for it is "partial tRNA-Gln". Lineage: Eukaryota; Metazoa; Chordata; Mammalia; Rodentia; Cricetidae. The record is from RNAcentral.